GCUCUGGUAGUCUAGCGGCCAGGAUUCCACCCUGUCACGGUGGAGACCCGGGUUCGAUUCCCGGCCAGGGCG
This 72-nucleotide transfer RNA is filed under the name Candidatus Iainarchaeum sp. Its description in RNAcentral is "tRNA-Asp". It matches the Rfam family "tRNA". Rfam says of the family: Transfer RNA (tRNA) molecules are approximately 80 nucleotides in length. Their secondary structure includes four short double-helical elements and three loops (D, anti-codon, and T loops). Lineage: Archaea; Nanobdellati; Candidatus Iainarchaeota; Candidatus Iainarchaeia; Candidatus Iainarchaeales; Candidatus Iainarchaeaceae. The record is from RNAcentral.